RNA transcript from Salvia miltiorrhiza (redroot sage), 2875 nucleotides. RefSeq lists it as uncharacterized. The transcript is spliced from 4 exons. Lineage: Eukaryota; Viridiplantae; Streptophyta; Magnoliopsida; Lamiales; Lamiaceae. The record is from RefSeq and is a predicted model, not a curated record.
CACAAUUUGAAAUAACUGAUUUGCAGGUUUUUUUAUUGCCGUCGCCGGUGACCUAAUUUGUGCUCCGUCAAUCUCGCAACCACACCGCCCCUUCCAUCCAAUUUCCGGUAAUAAGCCUAUUAGGGUUUUUAUUUCUUUUAGAACAUUUAUUUAUUUACAAACUUAUAACUAAUUUGAAAUAAUUGAUUUUUAGGUUUUUUGUUCUAUUCACUCCGCCGCCUAUUGCUGUCGCCGGUGAUCUAAUUUGGGAUCCGCCCCUUCCAUCCAAUUUCCGGUAAUAAAGCCUAAAAGAGUUUUGCAAUUUUCAUAGUAAAUUUCCCCUUUUCAGUUUUGGCGGGAUGGGCGAGAUCAAAGGAUCGUUUGAUGAAGCAGUAGCGCAGAAACUCUGCUUUUCAGAUAGGGUAUGUAUUGUUUGCCGGCAUCAUGAUUAUGAUUAUUUCAAUGGCUACCUUAUCUUUGUUAUCGACUUAUGCGAAUUAGUUAAUGGAUCUAAGGGGGUUUUACAAUACAAUAUCCUGCUCAAUUAUGAUCUUAGCAUGUCAGUUUGUGGUCUUGAUUCCACACUUUACUUUGUUGAAUCUCUUAGUUGUUCAGUGAUUCCGAACAUAUACAUUCUCGAUGUCGAAACCAAACAUCAAAGAUUGAAAUUACGCCCUAAACAUUUACAGUGCUUACCUCCUAUGUUGGGCCCCAAACGCUUUCUUCGAAUAGCAUCAAUUCCUCGCGCUAAAAAGAUUCUAGUAUUUUCUUCUCAGUUCCAAGUGUUGUUGUACAAUCCUAAUUUGGCUGAUGAUGGUUUUGUUGAUGAUUUUGAUGAACACAUUGAUUUUGAGAUGUAUGAUGUUGGAAGCAAUACAUGGGAAAAACUACCUCCACUUAUUAUCCUAAAAGUCUACAGUAAUGGUAACUUUAUGAAUCCUUCCUUUUUCCUGCUGCAUGAGGCCGAGAAAACAGAGAUCCCUAGGACUGCUUGGGAUGAAGAUUUUGGAAUAUAUGAGAUUUCUCGUUAUACGUUGAUCGAUGAGGAUGUAUUUCUGGUGCAACUUACUUGUGGUGUAAUGCUUACUCUUGAUCUCAAGUCUCCCUCCAAAGGCUGGAAACUGUACGAUGAAGGUAUGGUAACUAAGCCUAGUUCAGAUCAGAAUCUGUUUGUAGUUGAGGAUAAAUUCCGAAUGCCUUGGUGUGCUUCUGAUAUUCGAGGAGAUAGGAAAUUCGGAAAUGCUGUUGCGUUUCCACUAUCGUUGUUCGGUGAAGACGAUGCGUUGAAAGUAUAUCCUUGUUCAAUCAUCACUCAUUUGGAGAGUGACAAGGCUAAGGGUCAUGUCUGCAUUGUGCAAGGUGGCGUUAGUCGGAAGUCGAAGCAUCCUCAAAUGGUUAUGGAUGUAGGGAAUCUGCAGGGUGAGGUUGUUGCUUCUUAUAGAUUUGAAGUGCAGCAUAGGAUCAAGUGUUUCACACCUCUCUGCAUGUUUGUUUGCCAUCCAAAGCAAAGGAUGGGUGAGAUCAAACGAUCGUUUGAUGGAGCAGUAGCGCAGCAGCAGCAGAAACUCCGCUUUUCAGAUAGGGUAUGUUUUGUUUGCAGUGUCGAUCCGAAAUAUGGUCGCUAUGGUUGUGGUUGUGAUUGUUGUGAUGGUUUCAAAGGCGACCUUAUCUUUGUCGUCGACUUAUCUGAAUUAGUUAAUGGAUCUAAGAAGUAUUUACAAUAUAAUAUCCUACUCAAUCAUGGCCUUAGCUGUUCAGUUUGUGGUCUUGAUUCCACACUUUAUUUUGUUGAUUCUCCUGAUUCGUCCGAGAGUCCGACAGUAUACACUCUCGAUGUCGAAACCAAACAUCAAGGCUUGAAGUUAGGCCUUGAUGAUUUAGGCAGCUUACCUCCUAUGUUGGGACCCAAAUGCUGUGCUCGAAUAGCAUCAAUUCCUAGCACUAAAAAGAUUCUAGUAUUUUCUUCUAUGUUGUACAAUACCAUUACCACCUUCUUUGGUGAUGGUGUUGAUCCUGGUUUUGAUAAAGACAUUGAUUUUGAGAUGUAUGAUGUUGGAACCAAUACAUGGGAAAAACUAACUCUAUGAAUCCUUCCAUUUUCCUGGUGCACGGGGAUGAGAAAACAGAGAUCCCUAGGAAUGCUUGGGAUAAAAAAUUUCAUACAGAGAUUUCUCGUUAUACUUUGAUCGAUGAGGAUGUAUUUCUGGUGCAACUUACUUGUGGUAUAAUGCUUACUCUUGAUCUCAAGUCCCCCUCCAAAGGCUGGAAACUGUACGAUGUAGGUAUGGUAACCAAGCCUAGUUCAGAUCAGAAUCUGUUUGUAGUUAAUGAAAAAACCCAAAUGCGGUGGCAAACGCCUUGGUGUGCUUCUGAUAUUCAAGGAGAUAGGGAAUUCGGAAAUGCUGUUGAGUUCCCACGAACUUGGUUCGAUGAAGACGAUCCGUUGAGACGGUAUCCUUGUUCAACAAUCACUCCUCUGGAGGGUGAGGAGGCUAAGGGUCAUGUCUGCAUUGUGCAUGGUGGCGUUAGUCGGAAGUCGAAGCAUGGUCAAGUCAUUAUGGAUGUAGGGAAUGUGCAGGGUGAGGUUGUUGCUUCUUGUAGAUUUGAGGUGCCGCAUAGGAUCAAGGACUUCGAUCCUUCCUGCAUGUUUGUUUACCAUCCAAAGCAAAGUGACACUGAGGAUCAAGCUUUGCUGCCUUAUCUUUGAAGAAUAUCUAUUUCUUUUAUUGAAGUUUCAAGACUUAUGUACAGAGAGAGAGAGAGUAGGUAUUCAUUAUUUCUUCAUUGUUAGGAAAUAUAGCAAGCAUAUAUAUGAAAUUUAAGAGGCGAAAGCCCUAGUCACUUUUGAGUAGAACAUUUCAAUGCAUAAUCUAAUUAGCAUCCUUCAAUUCAACUA